This 495-nucleotide ribosomal RNA is filed under the name uncultured bacterium. RNAcentral's name for it is "partial 16S ribosomal RNA". It matches the Rfam family "Bacterial small subunit ribosomal RNA", at positions 28 to 507 of the family's 1533-position model. The record is from RNAcentral.
GACGAACGCUGGCGGCGUGCCUAAUACAUGCAAGUAGAACGCUGAAGGAGGAGCUUGCUUCUCUGGAUGAGUUGCGAACGGGUGAGUAACGCGUAGGUAACCUGCCUGGUAGCGGGGGAUAACUAUUGGAAACGAUAGCUAAUACCGCAUAAGAGUAGAUGUUGCAUGACAUUUGCUUAAGAGGUGCAAUUGCAUCACUACCAGAUGGACCUGCGUUGUAUUAGCUAGUUGGUGAGGUAACGGCUCACCAAGGCGACGAUACAUAGCCGACCUGAGAGGGGGAUCGGCCACACUGGGACUGAGACACGGCCCAGACUCCUACGGGAGGCAGCAGUAGGGAAUCUUCGGCAAUGGACGGAAGUCUGACCGAGCAACGCCGCGUGAGUGAAGAAGGUUUUCGGAUCGUAAAGCUCUGUUGUAAGAGAAGAACGAGUGUGAGAGUGGAAAGUUCACACUGUGACGGUAUCUUACCAGAAAGGGACGGCUAACUACGUG